Long non-coding RNA from Triticum dicoccoides, 408 nucleotides. RefSeq lists it as uncharacterized. The record is from RefSeq and is a predicted model, not a curated record. The transcript has 5 exons. Lineage: Eukaryota; Viridiplantae; Streptophyta; Magnoliopsida; Poales; Poaceae.
GAAAGAAUGAGCAGCGAACAGUCUAUAAAACGACUUGAAACGGUAUGCUUGGUCCAGACUACAACAGUUUGUUGGCUUGCUUCGGACAGUCUUUCGCUGUGCUAUACUAUUUGUGAAGAGGUAAAGACAUAUGAUAAGCAAAGAGGGAUAAAAUGAUUCCACAUACUGGGUAUUAUUUGAACUGAUAUGGAGGGACUACUUCAGAUUUCUUUUCAUUAAAAUAUGGGAACUCCAUUUUCUUGCAAGUUCAGUGACGUCUUCAGAGUGUUGGCGCUCUGCCUUGUCACCAGCAGCAGCACAAGCAACGAUGUGGACGGCUUUGUUGGGACAAAGGAAUAUGGUCCUGUGAAGGACUCAACUCCGCCGGCCUCAUCAUCCUUUUUCGUCACCGUGGUCGUCAAUGUCAAA